CUGUUUGCUUUGGUGACACAAAUACCAAAAUUGGAUCAAUACAGAGAUUAGCAUAGCUCUUGCACAAAGAUAACAUAGAAGUUUGUGAAGCAUUCCAAGAAGGA
Molecule: small nuclear RNA, 104 nt
Organism: Urocitellus parryii (Arctic ground squirrel)
Lineage: Eukaryota; Metazoa; Chordata; Mammalia; Rodentia; Sciuridae
Source: Ensembl